RNAcentral lists this ribosomal RNA (467 nucleotides) under uncultured bacterium. RNAcentral's name for it is "partial 16S ribosomal RNA". It matches the Rfam family "Bacterial small subunit ribosomal RNA", at positions 28 to 507 of the family's 1533-position model. The record is from RNAcentral.
GACGAACGCUGGCGGCGUGCUUAACACAUGCAAGUCGAACGGAAAGGCCCUGCUUUUGUGGGGUGCUCGAGUGGCGACCGGGGGAGUAACACGUGAGUAACCUGCCCUUGACUUUGGGAUAACUUCAGGAAACUGGGGCUAAUACCGGAUAGGAGCUCCUGCGGCAGGGUGGGGGUGGGAAAGUUUCGGCGGUUGGGGAUGGACUCGCGGCUUAUCAGCUUGUUGGUGGGGUAGUGGCUUACCAAGGCUUUGACGGGUAGCCGGCCUGAGAGGGUGACCGGCCACAUUGGGACUGAGAUACGGCCCAGACUCCUACGGGAGGCAGCAGUGGGGAAUAUUGCACAAUGGGCGGAAGCCUGAUGCAGCAACGCCGCGUGCGGGAGGACGGCCUUCGGGUUGUAACCGCUUUCGCCUGUGACGAAGCGUGAGUGACGGUAAUGGGUAAAGAAGCACCGGCUAACUACGUG